This is a small nuclear RNA of Trichechus manatus latirostris (Florida manatee), 102 nucleotides long. Lineage: Eukaryota; Metazoa; Chordata; Mammalia; Sirenia; Trichechidae. The record is from RefSeq and is a predicted model, not a curated record.
GUGCUCAUUUAGGCAGCACAUAUACUAAAAUUAGAACAAUAUAGAUUAACAUGGCCCCAAUGCAAGGAUAACAUGCAAAUUUGUGGGAAAAAAGUCUAUGCU